Long non-coding RNA from Tarenaya hassleriana, 751 nucleotides. RefSeq lists it as uncharacterized. The transcript is spliced from 4 exons. NCBI's taxonomy places the organism in Eukaryota, Viridiplantae, Streptophyta, Magnoliopsida, Brassicales, Cleomaceae. The record is from RefSeq and is a predicted model, not a curated record.
AAGCCCACAUAUGUCUGAAACUCCGAUUUCGUCAUGGGUCUUUGAUUCGACGAAGGCUUCUCGAUUUUUGGCGCCGGCGACGAGGAAGCAGGUCUUGCCGUUGAGGGAGGCUGUUGCUGCGGCGGCGGCUACGGCUAGGGUUCGGCAUUUGCUGCAGCAGCGGCGGAAGCCUUUAAUCCGGUUGGGCGUCAAGGCUCGUGGCUGCUACGGCUUGUCUUAUACCCUCAAUUAUGCCGGCAAUCUCCCGGAUAUUUCUUGAUUCUGUUCAUCUUGUCGCCAUUCUAUUUGAUCUUCUUUCUCUCUGGGGGAAAUUCUAGAUGUGAAAGGAAAGUUCGACAGCUGGUCGAGGAAAAGGGUGUAAGUAUAGCUGUUGAGCCAAAGGCCCUGAUGCAUGUCAUUGGGACCAAGAUGGAUUUCAUAGAUGAUGAACACAGGUCAGAGUUUGUGUUCGUCAAUCUGAACUCAAAAGGGCAGCGUGGAUGAGGUGAAUCUUUCAUGACGACAUCUAGAUCUAGUUAGGAAACAACGCCAGAAACAGAGUUCAAGAUGAACCAGGAACAUAGUAUCUAUCAUUCUUACACUGAAUAUUACACCGAACAGCUGCUAGAGAAUGAGCCCCAGUUACAAAGCAAUAUGCAAAAAAAAAAACAUACAAAGGGUUGCCUGUUGGCGUAGGGGGUGACAAAGCUUGAACUUAUCUGGCGGUUGAACUCUGCUUCAUUCUACAAUGUGCUAAUACCUGCCUUUUUCC